Bacteroides eggerthii 1_2_48FAA is the source of this 397-nucleotide non-coding RNA. The record is from Rfam. Lineage: Bacteria; Pseudomonadati; Bacteroidota; Bacteroidia; Bacteroidales; Bacteroidaceae.
GGGGUUGACUGGAUUUGACAGCGGGCAGAAAUGGUAAGUAAGCAUGCAGUGCGUCGUUGAUUUGCACUUAAAUCUCAGUCUUCAAAAUUUUAUCUGGCGAAAGACAAUUUGCUCUUGCUGCUUAAUCGAAUCAUAGUAGAUUAGCUUAAUCCCGAUACAAGGUGUUGGGACGAGACAUCACUCGGAAGCUGUUGCUCCGAAGCGUUCCGGUAAAGUGGUGCAGUUACAUCGGGGAUAGUUCGUACUUGCCUCGGAGUGCGAAUGAAACUUUAGAGGAUAAGGUAACGGUUGAUGGCUUUGGUUCUGCCGUUACACGAAAACUUAGGCAAAGAUAAGCAUGUAGAAAGCUUAUGAUUUCCUCGUUUGGACGAGGGUUCGAUUCCCUCCAGCUCCACAG